Molecule: small nuclear RNA, 132 nt
Filed under: Tuber melanosporum Mel28
Lineage: Eukaryota; Fungi; Ascomycota; Pezizomycetes; Pezizales; Tuberaceae
Description: U1 spliceosomal RNA
Rfam family: U1 spliceosomal RNA
About the family: U1 is a small nuclear RNA (snRNA) component of the spliceosome (involved in pre-mRNA splicing). Its 5' end forms complementary base pairs with the 5' splice junction, thus defining the 5' donor site of an intron. There are significant differences in sequence and secondary structure between metazoan and yeast U1 snRNAs, the latter being much longer (568 nucleotides as compared to 164 nucleotides in human).
Source: RNAcentral
AUACUUACCUGGCGGCAGAGUCCACCGCUCAUUAAGGGUGGAUUCUCGUAGUGUCCCACCUUCAUGGCACAACGAAGAUGGGCACCAUGCCAGCUGUCUUCGGGCACCUGGGCUGCUUAAUUUUUGAUUUAC